Long non-coding RNA from Brachypodium distachyon (stiff brome), 1076 nucleotides. RefSeq lists it as uncharacterized. The record is from RefSeq and is a predicted model, not a curated record. NCBI's taxonomy places the organism in Eukaryota, Viridiplantae, Streptophyta, Magnoliopsida, Poales, Poaceae. The transcript is spliced from 2 exons.
UUCACGGCUUCUCGGAUCAGCGUUGUUUUAUUUAUUUUUGGGAAACCACGAUACAAACACAGAGUUCACAAACACGAGCGUCCACUCACUUCGAGAGAUUGAGCCAAACAUAUUUUCACCAUAGACGCUCGGUGUAAUGUGCAUCCCCUCUCGCCGUUGACAGUUUGCUGCAGUUUCGAGACUUUUCCCAUUCUCUUCUCCGUCUCCGGCAUUCCGGAUCUCACCGAGCGAGGCCGGUGGCGGGGGCGCGCUUCGAGGAGAUCGGCGGCCAGGCGAGGGAGGCGGCCGUGCGUAGCAAGGAAGCCGGCGGCGGCGGGCUUCGAGAUGGCCGGAGGCGGCGCGACGGAGGCGGUGGCGCGCCGCAAGGAGACAGGCGGCCGCGCGCAGCAAAGAAGCCGGCGGCGGCGGGCUUCGAGAUGGCCGGAGGCGGCGCGACGGAGGCGGUGGUGCGCCGCAAGGAGAGCGGCGGCCGCGCGCAGCAAGGAAGCCGGCGGCGGCGGGCUUCGAGAUGGCCGGAGGCCGCACGACAGAGGCGGGGGUGCGCCGCAAGGAGAGCGGCGGCCGCGCGCAGCAAGGAAGCCGGCGGCGACGCGCUUCGAGAUGGCCCGGAGGCCGCGCGACGGAGGCGGUGGUGCGCCACAAGGAGAUCGGCGGCGGCGCGCUUUGAGGAGGCCGGCCGCCACGGGACGGAGGCGGCCGCACGCAGCAAGGAGGCCGGCGGCCGCGUGACGGAGGCGGCGCGCGCUUCGAGGAGGUCGGCGGUAGGUCGACGACGGCUCCCUCGAGGAUGCUAGCGGGCUGCGUGCGGCAAGGAGGGCAGGGCGUCGGCUUGGAGAAGAUUGAUAACGUAGGCACAUAGCCAGGAUAUGUGCAAAGUCCAGAAUGCCCAUACUCCGUUAAGUCUAAUGGAGUAUUAGGUACAGUAGAAAAUGCCUUGUUUAUUUGGAGCUUAGCUAUUUGUACUUCCAAAAUCCGAUCUGAAUGACCGUGCUGAGCGUAGAUCAAUUGGUUUGGUUUUUUUGUUGGAACAUCCCACCUAGGUUCAACUUUUGAAUUUGAUAUGGUGCUCACAUUUA